GGUCUGGAAAGUCUGCCUCUUGAGUUUCUUUAUAGAAUUCUUUGAGUAAAGGCUGCCUUCCAAAGACAGGAGUGUUAGGAUUUCAAGAAAUGAAAUGAUAAAAAUGGAUCCAUCAUUUUUGAAAAAAAAAAUCAAAUAUAUAAGUAUAUGUUUAUCUGAAGAUAUGAUAACAUGUAUUCUCAGUUGAAAGAAUAAUAAUUACAUGAACACUCAGGCACACACCACCAUUAUAAGAAAUAAUAAAACAUUGUCCACAGGUGGAUUUGUGACAGUCUCCACCCCAUGCCCUUCUUGAUCACAUGUCCCUGUCUUUUAUUCUAGGAAAUAAUAAUUCUGCAUUUUAUGUUUGUUGUGCCUUGACAUUCUUUAUACCUUUACCACCUGCAUAUGAAUCUCUGAAAACAUAUCAUUUAAUUUGACCUUUCUAUAGAUGGAACCAUAUUAAACAUAGUCUUCUGUGACUUGUUUUUUCUCAAUGUCCUGUUUUUAAGAGUCACGCAAGUUGCUGUUGCUUAUAACUAGUAGAUAAUUUACGUACCUGCUAUUUUACUGUUGUGUUAUGCAUUCUACUCUUGAUGGCCAUUCUUCUUUCUUUUUAUUUAUUGUUUUAUUUAUUGUUUUAUUUAUUGUUUUAUUUAUUUAUUUAUUAUUUUUCUUUCUUUGCUUCUUUAGGGCCACACUCACAGCAUAUGGAGAUUCCCAGGUUAGGAGCCCAGUCGGAGCUGUAGCUGUAGGUCUAUGCCACAGCCACAGCAAUGUACAAUCUGAGCCACGUCUGUGACCUACACCACAACUCAGGACAACACCAGAUCCUUAACCCACUGAGCGAGGCCAGGGAUCAAACCUGCGUCCUCAUGGAUGCUGGUCAGUUUCGUUAACUGUUGAGCCACAAAGGGAACUCCCCCUCUUUCUUUUCAAAUUGGAGAAAAUCUUUCUUUUCCCAAGAAGAUGUUAAAAUGAAUACCAACCAAACAGAACAAAACAAAAACCGGGAAAUAAGAUGCUAGUGAAGGAUACACUGCUCUUUGUCUGUAGAACAUUUGAAAAGUCUAACACAUCUCCUUGGAACUCCUUGUUCUUAUAGGAGAGUUCACCUUGAUUUACUGUGACAUUCAUCUCUACUCUUUUUUGGUGGUUUGUUUUUUCAAUUCACCAGUUCCUGCAUGUGACUGAAAGGCUCUGGCUACUUUAGAAACUACCUCUCUCCCCUGGUCCUCCCCCAGCCAGUUAAGAAACUUCAAGAAUGUUCUUUUGUGCCUCCAGGUUUCCGAUCACUCUUCAUGACAUUUUUGGCCCAGGCCAUCAUAGGAGAAUUUUCUUGCAAGCCUCAGGCCACUGACUGCACAUGACUUGCCUUUGAUAAUCCAGUUCUUCUAGAUAUAAUGCAAAUCUAUCAGUGAUAGAUCUAACAGUGAUAAUUCUGUUAGUCAUUUCAUUGUUAGACUUUCAUCCUUGAGUCUAUGAAUGAUUCAGUUUCAUAAAUUAAAAAAACCCUUGUCUCUCCUUCACAUCUUGAGGCUUGUUCAGAGAACAUUUCUCAGCUCCACUUGAAACAUCCAUUCAUCUACCUACCGCAGAAAGUUUGGAAAUCUUGAAUGGGCAGCGGGGAGAAGUCUUUGUUCUGCCCCGUGAGAGAACCUCAGUUGUCCAAGCCUCUAAUGAAGUUUUCAAGAGCAUAAACAACCACAUGAUCUCUUCCUACAGAAAGAGACAAAGAAAGAUUUCUGAGACUGGUGGAAUAUUUUACUUCUCAAACAUUUCUCUAAGUUUUUUCUCCUUUUUGUUGUAGGUUUCAGUUCUGAAUAAUUAGCAUACGUUUGCCUCAUGAGAACAACCUGAGUUGCAAAAACUCAUUUUAAAGCUUCUCUGCUUAAAGCACCCAGUUCCAUAAAUUAUACAUCUGUUACUUGAUAUGCAUUUUCCAUUAGGUAGUCUAAAGCCAUCCCACAUGAAUACUCAUUUUCACAUUAAAGGUACAAAAAGCCUGGAAGCCUGAAAGCCUGAUUGUCUGUGUUUUUUUUUCCCCCUUUUCUUUUUGCCAAGAGGUAGAUACUCUUCUUUUGAAAACCCUAUUUAUUCCUGAUGGGAAGUUUUAUUUCUAUCUUCAGAAACACCAUUUUAGAUUUGUGUAAUCAGUUCAGCAAACUGCUUCUUAAAGUGAUAAAUAAAAAUCCAAUUAAACUUGCAAUUAGAGUUUACUAAAAAUAUAGGUUGCUAUAAUUUUGUUGGCGAUAGAAGUACAGAAGUAGAAAUGAUUAAUGAUGAUUACUAAUUAUGCAGCUGUGUUCAGAGCACACAAAUCUAUAAAACCAUGGAUUUAGAGUUAAAUAAGGGCUUCAUGCUAAGAAAAACCUUUGUAGACAGUAUCUAAAUCCAGCUCAUUUCUAUUCUGUACUUAAUCACCCAUCACCUGUUAUCACUUUGCUUAACAAAGAAAAACCAGAAAAAUAGAGUUCUAGAAUGACUGUCUCAUUCUUAUUUCCUUUGUUGUUGUUUUGCUGACUAAGUUUGUGGUCAAAAAAAUGCCGUCGAUGUGAGACAUUAUCAAAUAUUAAUUAUAGUGAAGGGCAAUUCUGACUUCUUUCUUUCCUGAAUAUUGGAUAACUUAUUCUGAUCUUUCAUAUCAAAAAUAGAUUUUUUUGUGGGGCUAAUGGAAAUCUCUAAAAAAUAAAUAUUUGACUUAUAGAAAGAAGACGUGAGUUUGAUCACUUCCUCUGCAACUUAAAAUAAGAAAACUUACCAAAUAACUCUCAAUAUUUUUUUAGCCAUAUAUUUUUUUUGGAUGAGCACCAAAGUCACAUUUUUCCUUUUCUGCUCUUCACUCCUGUAGAAAAAUCAUUCUUUUAGGAAAAGACAAUUUUGCAAAUAAAGAAACAGAGAUCCAAAGGGCUUAUGUGAAAUUGUAAUAUCUCAAACUUAGUUCUCUUAUACCCUGGUCGUAUGUUACUUUCAGUUUCCAAUCAAUGAGCAAAAACAAAAACAAAUUAAAAAACAACAAAGAAAGAGAGAGACAGAGAGAGAAAUGAAGAGAAUAAAGGAGAGAAGAGGGACAUAGGGAGAGAAAAAAAAGGAGAGAGAAAAUGAAGGAGAGAUAGAAGAAACUGUUAUUACUUAAAUGAAUGUUAAACAGGGGAUGCUGGGUAGGGAGGAAAAUGAUAAUAUAUUGCAGGGAAAAAAAGAAUAUAGAAAUAUGGGAAAGGUUUCACCUAACAAGCGAAAGAAAGAAAGAAAGAAAGAAAAAAGAAAGAAAGAAAGAGAAAGAAAGAGAAAGAAAGAAAGAAAGAAAGAAAGAAAGAAAGGAAGGAGGGAGGGAGGGAGGGAGGGAAGGAAGGAAGGAAGGAAAGAAAGAAAGAAAAAAAGGAAGAAAGAAAGAAAG
This 3376-nucleotide long non-coding RNA is filed under the name Sus scrofa (pig). Its description in RNAcentral is "lncRNA (ENSSSCG00025009613.1)". The record is from RNAcentral. Lineage: Eukaryota; Metazoa; Chordata; Mammalia; Artiodactyla; Suidae.